UUGGCGGUGAGAGUGGCGAACGGGUGAGUAAUGCGUGACCAACCUGCCCCGUGCUUCGGAAUAGCUCCUGGAAACGGGUGGUAAUGCCGGAUGCUCCGCAUCAUCGCAUGAUGGUGUGGGAAAGGGUUUACCGGCAUGGGAUGGGGUCGCGUCCUAUCAGCUUGUUGGCGGGGUGAUGGCCUGCCAAGGCUUCGACGGGUAGCCGGCCUGAGAGGGCGACCGGCCACAUUGGGACUGAGAUACGGCCCAGACUCCUACGGGAGGCAGCAGUGGGGAAUAUUGCACAAUGGGCGAAAGCCUGAUGCAGCGACGCCGCGUGCGGGAUGACGGCCUUCGGGUUGUAAACCGCUUUUGAUUGGGAGCAAGCGAGAGUGAGUGUACCUUUCGAAUAAGCACCGGCUAACUACGUGCCAGCAGCCGCGGUAAUACGUAGGGUGCAAGCGUUAUCCGGAUUUAUUGGGCGUAAAGAGCUCGUAGGCGGUUCGUCGCGUCUGGUGUGAAAGUCCAUCGCUUAACGGUGGAUCGGCGCCGGGUACGGGCGGACUGGAGUGCGGUAGGGGAGACUGGAAUUCCCGGUGUAACGGUGGAAUGUGUAGAUAUCGGGAAGAACACCGAUGGCGAAGGCAGGUCUCUGGGCCGUCACUGACGCUGAGGAGCGAAAGCGUGGGGAGCGAACAGGAUUAGAUACCCUGGUAGUCCACGCCGUAAACGGUGGAUGCUGGAUGUGGGGCCCGUUCCACGGGUUCCGUGUCGGAGCUAACGCGUUAAGCAUCCCGCCUGGGGAGUACGGCCGCAAGGCUAAAACUCAAAGAAAUUGACGGGGGCCCGCACAAGCGGCGGAGCAUGCGGA
Molecule: ribosomal RNA, 850 nt
Filed under: Bifidobacterium asteroides
Lineage: Bacteria; Bacillati; Actinomycetota; Actinomycetes; Bifidobacteriales; Bifidobacteriaceae
Description: bacterial SSU rRNA
Rfam family: Bacterial small subunit ribosomal RNA
Source: RNAcentral